Heterocephalus glaber (naked mole-rat) is the source of this 437-nucleotide non-coding RNA. NCBI's taxonomy places the organism in Eukaryota, Metazoa, Chordata, Mammalia, Rodentia, Bathyergidae. The record is from RefSeq and is a predicted model, not a curated record.
UAUAAAUUAGUUAUGCAAAAAGUGAAAGUUUCAUUUCAUCUCUUUAAAUAUGGUCUUUAGGCUGGACAUGGUGGCAGAUGCCUCUAAUCCCAGUACUGGGAAGGCUGAGGCAGGAGGAUUGCCCGAGUUCAUUCCCAGAGGGAGGUACAUAAUGAAUCCAAGGCCACACUGAACUACAAAGAUGGACAUUCUAAUCAAACGCUGGGUGAAAAUGGAGAACUGCUGCAUAAAGUAUUAACUUUCCUGACUUGGACGAGUUUGAAAAUGGAUUCCAGGAAGGUUAAAAAGCAAUACCAGAGGGCAUACGUGCAGAAGUGGAUGUAGUCAGUCAUUCAAAGCAUUCAGGUAAGAAUAUGGCAAUAUAAAUAUCCAAAAAGCAUGACUUAGGUGUUCCAAACAAAACGUGUAGUCAUUCCUAACUAAUUUGAGCUGUAGAG